AAGGAUCAUUACAGAGUUCAUGCCCUCACGGGUAGAUCUCCCACCCUUGAAUAUUAUACCUUCGUUGCUUUGGCAGGCCGUGGAAACACCAGAGGCUCCGGCUGAUGCGUGCCUGCCAGAGGAAACAAACUCUGUUUUUAGUGAUGUCUGAGUACUAUAUAAUAGUUAAAACUUUCAACAACGGAUCUCUUGGUUCUGGCAUCGAUGAAGAACGCAGCGAAAUGCGAUAAGUAAUGUGAAUUGCAGAAUUCAGUGAAUCAUCGAAUCUUUGAACGCACAUUGCGCCCCGUGGUAUUCCGCGGGGCAUGCCUGUUCGAGCGUCAUUUCAACCCAUCAAGCUUCGGCUUGGUCUUGGGGCCUGCGGUUUCGCAGCCUCUAAACCCAGUGGCGGUGCUAUUGAGCUCUGAGCGUAGUAAUUUCUCUCGCUAUAGAGUCUCGGUGGUGACUUGCCAACAACCCCCAAUUUUUAUCAGGUUGACCUCGGAUCAGGUAGGGAUACCCGCUGAACUUAA
Molecule: ribosomal RNA, 512 nt
Filed under: uncultured Helotiales
Lineage: Eukaryota; Fungi; Ascomycota; Leotiomycetes; Helotiales
Description: eukaryotic LSU rRNA
Rfam family: 5.8S ribosomal RNA (bases 170-323)
Source: RNAcentral